UUUUCUGCCACCGAAUACAUUAGCAUGGGAUAAUGGAAUAGGACCCUGUCCUCCUAUUUUCAGUUGGUUUUGGCAGCGCGAGGACUAGGGUAAUGAUUAAUAGGGAUAGUUGGGGGCAUUAAUAUUUAAUUGUCAGAGGUGAAAUUCUUGGAUUUAUGAAAGAUUAACUUCUGCGAAAGCAUCUGCCAAGGAUGUUUUCAUUAAUCAAGAACGAAAGUUAGGGGAUCGAAGACGAUCAGAUACCGUCGUAGUCUUAACCAUAAACGAUGCCGACCAGCGAUUAGGAGACGUUGAAUACAAAACACCACCAUCGGUUGCGGUCGUCCUUGGCGUCUCGGUUUCGGCCGGGGCGCGGGGAUGGCUUAGCCCGGUGGCACCGGUGAAUGACUCCCCUAGCAGCUUGUGAGA
RNAcentral lists this ribosomal RNA (408 nucleotides) under Acanthamoeba sp. CHI1003. RNAcentral's name for it is "SSU rRNA". It matches the Rfam family "Eukaryotic small subunit ribosomal RNA", at positions 785 to 1095 of the family's 1831-position model. The record is from RNAcentral. Lineage: Eukaryota; Discosea; Longamoebia; Acanthamoebidae.